UCCUACGGGGGGCUGCAGUGAGGAAUUUUGCGCAAUGGGGGCAACCCUGACGCAGCAACGCCGCGUGGGUGAUGAAGGCCUUCGGGUCGUAAAGCCCUGUCAGGUGGGAAGAAAGCCCUGGGGAUGAAAAAGCCUUGGGAGUGACGGUACCACCAGAGGAAGCACCGGCUAACUCCGUGCCAGCAGCCGCGGUAAUACGGAGGGUGCGAGCGUUAUUCGGAAUUACUGGGCGUAAAGCGCGUGUAGGCGGCUUGACAAGUCUGAUGUGAAAGCCCUGGGCUCAACCUGGGAAGUGCAUUGGAAACUGUUAGGCUUGAGUACCGGAGAGGAUGGGGGAAUUCCCGGUGUAGAGGUGAAAUUCGUAGAGAUCGGGAGGAAUACCAGUGGCGAAGGCGCCCAUCUGGACGGCUACUGACGCUGAGACGCGAAAGCGUGGGGAGCAAACAGGAUUAGAUACCCUAGUAGUC
Molecule: ribosomal RNA, 467 nt
Filed under: uncultured Syntrophobacteraceae bacterium
Lineage: Bacteria; Pseudomonadati; Thermodesulfobacteriota; Syntrophobacteria; Syntrophobacterales; Syntrophobacteraceae
Description: bacterial SSU rRNA
Rfam family: Bacterial small subunit ribosomal RNA
Source: RNAcentral